RNAcentral lists this ribosomal RNA (466 nucleotides) under uncultured bacterium. RNAcentral describes it as "bacterial SSU rRNA". It matches the Rfam family "Bacterial small subunit ribosomal RNA", at positions 30 to 490 of the family's 1533-position model. The record is from RNAcentral.
AUUGAACGCUGGCGGCAUGCCUAACACAUGCAAGUCGAACGGUAACAGGGGCUUCGGCCCGCUGACGAGUGGCGGACGGGUGAGUAACGCGUAGGAAUCUUCCCAGUAGCGGGGGAUAGCUCGGCGAAAGCCGGAUUAAUACCGCAUACGCCCCACGGGGGAAAGCAGGGGAUCGUGAGACCUUGCACUAUUGGAUGAGCCUACGUCUGAUUAGCUAGUUGGUAGGGUAAAAGCCUACCAAGGCGACGAUCAGUAGCUGGUCUGAGAGGACGAUCAGCCACACUGGGACUGAGACACGGCCCAGACUCCUACGGGAGGCAGCAGUGGGGAAUAUUGGACAAUGGGCGCAAGCCUGAUCCAGCAAUGCCGCGUGUGUGAAGAAGGCCUGCGGGUUGUAAAGCACUUUCAGCGGGGAAGAAAGCUUAGGGUCAAUACCUCUAAGUCUUGACGUCACCCGCAGAAGAAG